UACGUAGGGUGCAAGCGUUAUCCGGAUUCACUGGGUUUAAAGGGUGUGUAGGCGGAUAUUUAAGUCAGUGGUGAAAUCUCUGGGCUCAACUCAGAAACUGCCAUUGAUACUAUUUAUCUUGAAUAUCGUUGAGGUUGGCGGAAUAUAUCAUGUAGCGGUGAAAUGCAUAGAUAUGAUAUAGAACACCGAUUGCGAAGGCAGCUAACUAAACGAUUAUUGACGCUGAGGCACGAAAGCGUGGGGAUCAAACAGG
This 253-nucleotide ribosomal RNA is filed under the name uncultured bacterium. Its description in RNAcentral is "partial 16S ribosomal RNA". It matches the Rfam family "Bacterial small subunit ribosomal RNA", at positions 524 to 776 of the family's 1533-position model. The record is from RNAcentral.